UCUAAGCUACACCAUCCAUCCCAAAAUAAGUUUAUUUCUUUGACAGUCUUUCUUAUUUAUUUUUUAGUUUAGUAUUUUGAUUGUUAUUAGACGAUAAAAUAUAAAUAGUAUUUUAUGCAUGACUUAUUUUUUUAGAUUUUUUUAUAAAUUUUUAAAAUAAGACGGACGGUCAAACGUUCAACCUAGAAACCCAUAAAUGAAUUUAUU
This 207-nucleotide microRNA precursor is filed under the name Oryza meridionalis. Its description in RNAcentral is "MIR812 microRNA precursor family". It matches the Rfam family "MIR812 microRNA precursor family". The record is from Rfam by way of RNAcentral. Lineage: Eukaryota; Viridiplantae; Streptophyta; Magnoliopsida; Poales; Poaceae.